UCAAUCCCAGUCUCUGGGGGAGAACACAAUUCCUGAAUUGCUUUGCCCCAGUCAGAGCCCAGGAGCAGCUGGAAGAGCAGAAUUUAAAACAGGGAUUUUUUUCAAUCCCAGUCUCUGGGGGAGAACACAAUUCAGGAAUUGCUUUGCCCCAGUCAGUGCUCAGGAGCAGCUGGAAGGGCAGAACUUGAAAACUGGGUUUUUUCAAGCCCAAUGUCUGGGGGGGAAAACACAAUUCAGGAAUUGCUUUGCUCAGUUGCAGCCUGCCCCUUCUCACCCCCAGCACACAGCAAACAGCCUUGCAUUGCCUCUCCUCUCCUCUCUGAGCCUUCUCCUCCUGUCUCCCACCUGCCCAAGCUGCAGGGACACUGCCCAGCUGGAAUAUCCACAGCUCAGCCCACUGCAGCCUUGCUCCAAACUCAAAUCCCUUCCCACACCCAAAUCCUGGGCAGGAAAAUCCUUCACCUCUCCUGAAAGCCGCUCAGGGAGAAGCUCAAGGUACUGCAGCUCCCUUCCAGCUGCUGUUUCCAUCACUUUGUUUCCCCAGUCUGGGCAGCACACCAAAGAUCACAAGGUUUGGGGGUUAAGUUUCAUUCCAAAACCAUCUCGUAGGAGAAGAAUUCCUCCUCCAUUUUAUCCACGGGCUGCUGGCAGGGGGACACCAGUGGGACAUCACAUCCUGGGUAAAUAUGUGAGGAGGAAAACCCUGAGCUGCUAAUAAAACCUGAGAGGCAGAGCCCUGAGACACUCACUUUGCAAUUCCUUUAGACACAGCCAACACUUAAAGUCUCGUGGCUGAGUUUCCCCUAAAAACCCACACAGCACUUCACAAACCAGCACAGGCACUCAGCAGGUCCAUUUCCAGGGGAUGCUGUGCUUGUUACUGCCACAACAGCACUGAACAAGGAGAAAGCAGCAAGGAAGAGACACACAGAGCUGCUGGAAAGGGACAGGGCUCUAACUGGGAGACACUGGUGUUAUCCCAAGGUCCUUGAAAUUGUGCUCAGAUAAGGUCUGGGAGACACUGCAAGAGGGAGGAAGG
Molecule: long non-coding RNA, 1039 nt
Filed under: Zonotrichia albicollis (white-throated sparrow)
Lineage: Eukaryota; Metazoa; Chordata; Aves; Passeriformes; Passerellidae
Description: lncRNA (ENSZALG00000013185.1)
Source: RNAcentral